RNAcentral lists this ribosomal RNA (459 nucleotides) under uncultured bacterium. Its description in RNAcentral is "partial 16S ribosomal RNA". It matches the Rfam family "Bacterial small subunit ribosomal RNA", at positions 338 to 795 of the family's 1533-position model. The record is from RNAcentral.
CCUACGGGAUGCCGCAGUGAGGAAUAUUGGUCAAUGGUCGGGAGACUGAACCAGCCAAGCCGCGUGAGGGAGGACGGUACAGUGUAUCGUAAACCUCUUUUGUCAGGGAACAAAGGCGCUGACGUGUCCCGGGAUGCGUGUACCUGAUGAAAAAGCAUCGGCUAACUCCGUGCCAGCCUCCGCGGUAAUACGGGGGAUGCGAGCGUUUUCCGGAUUUAUUGGGUUAAAAGGGUGCGUCGGCGGCCUGUUAAGUCAGCGGUCAAAGGUCGGGGCUAAACCCCGGCACGCCGUUGAAACUGGCGGGCUUGAGUAUGAGAGAAGUAUGCGGAAUGCGCGGUGUAGCGGUGAAAUGCAUAGAUAUGGCGCAGAACUCCGAUUGCGAAGGCAGCAUGCCGGCCUCACACUGACGCUGAGGCACGAGAGCGUGGGUAUCGAACAGGAUUAGAUACCCCAGUAGUC